RNAcentral lists this ribosomal RNA (253 nucleotides) under uncultured microorganism. RNAcentral describes it as "partial 16S ribosomal RNA". It matches the Rfam family "Bacterial small subunit ribosomal RNA", at positions 524 to 776 of the family's 1533-position model. The record is from RNAcentral.
UACGUAGGGUGCGAGCGUUAAUCGGAUUUACUGGGCGUAAAGCGUGCGCAGGCGGCCCGUUAAGACAGGUGUGAAAUCCCUGGGCUCAACCUAGGAAUUGCGCUUGUGACUGGCGGGCUCGAGUACGGUAGAGGGGGGUGGAAUUCCUGGUGUAGCGGUGAAAUGCGUAGAGAUCAGGAGGAACACCGAUGGCGAAGGCAGCCCCCUGGGCCUGUACUGACGCUCAUGCACAAAAGCGUGGGGAGCAAACAGG